GAAAGAUUCAUCGGAAGAGGAUGGGCAUGCGGCGCAUUAGCUAGACGGCGGGGUAACGGCCCACCGUGGCGACGAUGCGUAGGGGUUCUGAGAGGAAGGUCCCCCACACUGGUACUGAGACACGGACCAGACUCCUACGGGAGGCAGCAGUGAGGAAUAUUGGUCAAUGGGAGAGAUCCUGAACCAGCCAAGCCGCGUGAGGGAAGACGGCCCUAUGGGUUGUAAACCUCUUUUGUCGGAGAACAAAACCCGGGACGUGUCCCGGACUGCGUGUAUCCGAAGAAAAAGCAUCGGCUAACUCCGUGCCAGCAGCCGCGGUAAUACGGAGGAUGCGAGCGUUAUCCGGAUUUAUUGGGUUUAAAGGGUGCGUAGGCGGUCCGUUAAGUCAGCGGUAAAAUUGCGGGGCUCAACCCCGUCGAGCCGUUGAAACUGGCAGACUUGAGUUGGCGAGAAGUACGCGGAAUGCGCGGUGUAGCGGUGAAAUGCAUAGAUAUCGCGCAGAACUCCGAUUGCGAAGGCGGCGUACCGGCGCCAGACUGACGCUGAGGCACGAAAGCGUGGGGAUCGAACAGGAUUAGAUACCCUGGUAGUCCACGCAGUAAACGAUGAAUGCUGGUUGUCCGGGUCGAAUGAGACCUGG
RNAcentral lists this ribosomal RNA (640 nucleotides) under uncultured bacterium. RNAcentral describes it as "bacterial SSU rRNA". It matches the Rfam family "Bacterial small subunit ribosomal RNA", at positions 202 to 842 of the family's 1533-position model. The record is from RNAcentral.